This 253-nucleotide ribosomal RNA is filed under the name uncultured bacterium. Its description in RNAcentral is "partial 16S ribosomal RNA". It matches the Rfam family "Bacterial small subunit ribosomal RNA", at positions 524 to 776 of the family's 1533-position model. The record is from RNAcentral.
UACAGAGGGGGCAAGCGUUGUCCGGAAUUACUGGGCGUAAAGGGCGCGUAGGCGGCCCUCUAAGUCAGACGUGAAAUCCCUCGGCUCAACCGGGGAACUGCGUCUGAGACUGGAAGGCUUGAAUUCGGGAGAGGGAUGUGGAAUUCCAGGUGUAGCGGUGAAAUGCGUAGAUAUCUGGAGGAACACCGGUGGCGAAGGCGGCAUCCUGGACCGAGAUUGACGCUGAUGCGCGAAAGCCAGGGGAGCAAACGGG